RNAcentral lists this unclassified non-coding RNA (213 nucleotides) under Hevea brasiliensis (rubber tree). The record is from RNAcentral. Lineage: Eukaryota; Viridiplantae; Streptophyta; Magnoliopsida; Malpighiales; Euphorbiaceae.
GAUGAUAUCAGGUACCCAGAUGAUUAUUCUGAUAGAAUUUGGGAAAAACUCGACAACAAUACAGUUUUGAUAUCACCAGAUCCGACACCAGCUACAUCCAACAUCCUUAAUGAUAGCACAACAGUGCCUCUUAAAGUUCUCCAAACAGCACUAACACAUACAGACAGAUUGGAGUUCCUACACAGGAGCCUUGAUGCAGAAGACCACAACUAC